GUCACUAUUAGGUCAUGGGGGCACCAGGCAGUGGUGUUUAUCCGGGGGCUGGUGUCACUUUUGGCAUGUCUCCUAAAUUCAAGCUGAUGAGGAAAAUUAUCAGAGAGAGGACAGAACGCCUCGCAAGCUGUGACAAAGCAAUCUCUUUCGUAAAUGAGAGGAGAGUAGAGGAGAAAGAAUGACUCCGGUAACCACAGACUGGAGUUUAGAUGCUCAGAGAGAAAGACAGACACCUCCCUGCCCUACCUCCCACUCCUCAGAACAGGUGGGAAGUCAUGCUCACCUGGGGGGACCUAGGGACAGUCCCUGAGAAAGCCACUGCCUGCAGCAGCGAAGGUGAUUCAUUCAACAUGGCAGUUCCCAUACUCAUCGCACAAGGCGUGGACGACACAAAGAGAUGGCUUGCCUGCAAGAGACCCAGCUGGUCCAGAGUCGGAGGCACAUUUCAUUUCUCUGGCCAGCUGGAGAGGCGGCCGGAGCAGACGAGGAGAUCGCCUCUAAUGUUCUAAAUGUCAAUAUGGUCCCUACUGGCUGACUCGCCAAGAUUUGAUCAGCAAAUUGGCCUGCGUGAUGUGUUCCCUGCAAUGCACGGUGUGUGUUUAAAUCUUUCAACAGUGUCAUGAAAGAAGCUGAAGAACAG
RNAcentral lists this long non-coding RNA (640 nucleotides) under Equus caballus (horse). RNAcentral describes it as "lncRNA (ENSECAG00000037308.2)". The record is from RNAcentral. Lineage: Eukaryota; Metazoa; Chordata; Mammalia; Perissodactyla; Equidae.